RNAcentral lists this ribosomal RNA (253 nucleotides) under uncultured Eubacteriales bacterium. RNAcentral's name for it is "uncultured Clostridiales bacterium partial 16S ribosomal RNA". It matches the Rfam family "Bacterial small subunit ribosomal RNA", at positions 524 to 776 of the family's 1533-position model. Lineage: Bacteria; Bacillati; Bacillota; Clostridia; Eubacteriales. The record is from RNAcentral.
UACGUAGGGGGCAAGCGUUAUCCGGAUUUACUGGGUGUAAAGGGAGCGCAGGCGGCGUGGCAAGUCAGAUGUGAAAACCCGGGGCCCAACCCCGGGAGUGCAUUUGAAACUGCCAUGCUGGAGUGCCGGAGAGGUAAGCGGAAUUCCUAGUGUAGCGGUGGAAUGCGCAGAUAUUGGGAAGAACACCGGCGGCGAAGGCGGCCUUCUGGGCCACGACUGACGCUGAGGCGCGAAAGCUAGGGGAGCGAACAGG